Non-coding RNA from Ciona intestinalis (vase tunicate), 425 nucleotides. Lineage: Eukaryota; Metazoa; Chordata; Ascidiacea; Phlebobranchia; Cionidae. The record is from RefSeq and is a predicted model, not a curated record.
GAUAUUUUGUUUCUAUUGUUCACAAUGGCGGCCAUUAUCAGUGGGUGAAUACGUUUACCCUACAUGGGCGAAUGCAAUUGGCUGGUUGUUAGCCGCAUCAUCGAUGCUAUGCAUUCCUAUUGGUGCGUUCGUGUUUCUAUGGAAACAAGAGGGAAAUUUAAAACAGAAAUGGAUACAAGCGUUCCAAUACCAGGGUACUACACUUGUUCCACAGAGUGAUUAUACUGAUACUUCUGUAUAAGAAUCUUAUUGUUACUUACUCUGUAUUCAGUGUUAAGAAAUAAAGAGAUAUAUCCAAGCGUGGCGGGGCAACCGUAGUGGUUAUAACCCAAGUUUACUUUGAAAAACCUCGUAUUUGAUUACAGGUAUUUGGUUUGAUACACCUUGUACUUGCUAAUACAUACAAAUCGUUUCAAUUUGCAAAA